AUUUCCUAGUCCCCUGCCCACCAAACUAUACUUAAUAAACCCUACCCUCCAAAUUCUCAGGACGGCAGAUUUGAGAAACAUCUCCUGUCCUUGGCUGGCCCUGUGAUUAUUAAACUCUUUCUUUGCUGCAGCACCUGCUGUUCUCAGUGCAUUAGUCUUUCUGGGCAGCAGGCAAGAAGAACUUGUUGGGCUAUAACACUGUUGUCUUUUCCUAGAAUCCUAUGCAUCCCAAUCAGUUCUGUAGUUCUCCCAGGGGUGAUUUAGGGAUUGAGAGUGGCAGCCAUCUUGGCAGGAUGUUGCCACACCUCCCAUUCUCACAUCUGACCCACCAGUCCCCAAACUUGAUGUUGUGCUUUGUUUCCUGUAUGGACUGAUCUUGGUAUUCCCUCAGAGAAAAAUCUGGCUGUGCCGUCUAUCAGACUUCAUUCCCACACAGCUGCCCAGACACAGGGCAGCCUUCCUCUCAGAACAUCUUCUGUAUCCUGAAAGCCUCCAGUGGGUUCAUCCUUCAAGUUAAUGGACAGGAAAACUAAGACCAGUGAGGAAUCCCAACACUCAUCCUGCCAGGAUAGAAAGGAAAGCCCAGAGGCAUUGCAAAGAGUGCUGAAGAGCAGGGAUUCGCUGUAUGGGGACAACUCUUGCUUUGUGUUUCAGGACAGGGAACCCAGGAGUGCAAACCUCAGUCAGGUGCAGUCCAGAGCCUGUCUUGAGCAUAAUGGCUGCUCUGCUCUGCCCCCGACCCUCACCACCUCCAGCGGGGUUCAUCAUCCCAGUUUAUGGACAGAAAAACUAAGACUAGAGGGGGAGGGCUUAGCUCCUGCUCGGAGGAGACCUUCAACUCCUUCACCUGCCUGGACUUGGCACCCUCCCAAGAGACUGCAACCAAGGUUAUGAAAAUAGCAUCUACUCACCAUCCUUCCUCAGCACACCCCCAACCAAUCCACCCCUCAGUCCCACCCCUGUCUCAAGGAGACUGAGCCCCGAGAAGCACAGCCUCCUGCACCUCCUCACCUCCCAGCCUGCCUUCCUGGUCUAUCUGCAAUGUCCUCAAGUCCUUUCCCGUCCUCCUCAUCCAAACUCCAAGACCUGCCUCACCUCACCCUCCUCCAGGAAGCCCCCUUCAUGGUCUGGGUUCACUCCCUGUCAUGACGUCCGCCCUCACCAGCACAGCACCAAGCCUUGCAAUGCUCUCUAGUAGUUAUUUCCUGCACAGAGAAGGGGUGAGGGAAGCAUCAUUUCUGCCUAUCCCUGUUCACACGCAAGGCUGGCUCUGCCUUCCCAGGGACCGUUCUGCAGAGGGAGACCGCUCAUCAGGCAGGUACCACCUCCAGGGAUCUCACUAAGGUAGAACUGAUGGGCCUCAGUUCUGUUCAGAGAACAGCUAUACAGGCUGGAGGCCUCCAAGAAACAGUUUCCAUUUUCCCUGAGGAGUCUGUAUGGAUGUGUACUGUACAGGGUAUAGGCUGUAUGGAGUCUGCAGGUAAACAUGCCUGUGUGUCAAAGAAUGAGUCUGUAUGGGUGUGUACUGUACAGGGUAUAUGCUGUAUGGAGUCUGCAGGUAAACAUGCCUGUGUGUCAAAGAAUGAGCAUGUGUGUGUGUGCAUGUGUCAGCAUGAGAAUGCCUCUGUGUUUGUGAGUGUGAGAGGGUCAUAUAGGUGCAGCAUUCUGUUGAUGGAGAGUCAAACUCUGUAAAAAAAAAUUUUUUUUUUCUUUAGAUGGAGUCUCACUCUGUCACCCAGGCUGGAGUGCAGUGGCGCGAUCUCGGCUCACUGCAACCUCCGCCUCCCGGGUUCAAGCAAUCCUCCCUGCCUCAGCCUCCCAAGUAGCUGGGAUUAUAGGCACCUGCCACCACGGUCGACUAAUUUUUGUAUUUUUUAGUAGAGACUGGGUUUUCGUCAUGUUGGUCAGGCUGGUCUUGAACUCCUGACCUCAUGUGAUCCACCCACCUCCGCCUCCCAAAGUGUUGGGAUUACAAGCGUGAGCCACUGCACCCAGCCUGUAAAAUAUUUUAAGAGAUUUAUUCUGAGCCAAAUAUGAGUGACCGUGGCCUGUGACACAGCCCUCAGGAGGUCCUGAGAACAUGUGCCCAAGGUGGUCGGGAUACAUCUUGGUUUUAUGUAUUUUAGGAAGGUAUGAGACAUCAAUCAAAUACAUAUAAGAAAUACAUUGAUUUGGUUCAGAAAGGCAGAACAACUCAAAGCGGGGGGCUUCCAGGCUAUAGGUAAAUUUAAACAUUUUCUGGUUGACAAUUGUUUGAGUUUGUCUAAAGACCUGGGAUCCAUAGAAAGGAAUGUUCAGUUUAAAGAUAAAGGAUUAUAGAGACCAAGUUUUAUUGUGCAGAGGAAGCUCUCAGAUAGCAGACUUCAGACAGAGCAAGUUGUAAAUUGUCUCUUAUCGGACUUAAAAGGGUGCCUGGCUCUUACUUAGUUGAUUAUCUCCUGGAUCUGGAAAGAAAGGAAGGAAAACAAAGGCGGAAGGGGAAUCUCUAUAGAAUGUGGAUUUUUCCCACAAGAGACUUUGCAGGGCAAUUUCAAGGUAUGGCACGGAAAUAUAUUUUGGGGUUAAAUAUUUUUUUCCUUGUCUCAUAAUGUUAUGCCAGAGUCAGAUUGAAAAGUAAAUCACAACAUAUAGGGUCAAAUAAAACCCAUCUGAUGAGAAUGUAUGGUUUGUAGGGCAUGACUUCCUAGACCUCUUAGGUAGGAAUCUGGGUAAGACAGAAUAUCAGACUUAGUCCUCAAUUCCUAAUGCAAAGUUCUGAGAUCCAAAAUGCUCCAAAAUCUAAAACAUUUUUUAGCACCGACAUAAUGCCACAAGUGGAAAAUUCCACACUUGCUUCAAUGUGCACAAACUUUGUUUCAUGCAUAAAAUUAUUCAAAAUAUUAUAUAAAACUGCUUCAGGCUGUGUGUAUAUAAAACAUAAAUGGAUUUCCUGUUUAGCCUGGGGUCUCAUUCCCAAGAUAUCUCAUUAUGUAUAUGCAAAUAUUCCAAAAUCCGAAAAAAAUCUUAAAUCUGAGACACUUCUGGCCCCAAGCAUUUUGGAUAAGGGAUACUCAACCUGUAGGUGAAUGGACAGGAGUGAGACUACCAACCACCGUCCCCCCCGUCCCCGCCGCGUCCCCCUCACCCCACCCCACCCCCUCCCAUAUCCUUCUCUGACCUCUGGGGAGGUGAGGACAGCGAGGGCUGGACACCACCUGGUGGCCCUGAGCUGCACUACAAGCCACCACCACCCCACUCUUUUCUCCCUGCCCCCUACUCCAACUCACACACACACAGACACACACAUGCACACACACAGUUGAUCCCAGCUCUCAGCUCUUUCUCUGGGGCUUCAACCCACUUUGUGCUCACCAUCCCAAUGCCCUACAAUAGUCUUGCAAAGACUGAAGAUGGAGACCCCGUCCUUCUGAGUCUCCUUUCCCUAUCCCAGAGGAGGAGAAAGGAAUCAGACAGCUCUCGGAGGGGAAUCAGACAGGUAGGGCUCAAAUCCUAACCUUGGUGCAUUACUUAACCUCUCCAAACCUUAGACAACUUGGCUGCAGAAUAGACUAAUGGUAUCUGCUAGAAUCAUUGUGAAAUUUAAAUAAAAUGCAAAAUGAAACCAUUAAGUUGGGAGAGCAGGACAGCUACAGGAAGCCAAUGGGGUCAAGCCUUGUGUUCUGUAACCUGGUGAGGGCUGUCCUCAGGCUCUGUGCAGAGCCUCCUCCCAUCUGUCCUCUCUCCCUUCCUCCCACCUCUCCUCCCUGGGCAUCCUCAGAUAGCUGUUUUGCUCACCUUUGCAGGGAGCUCACCCCUGCCAGAGGCUCCACCCAAUACCUGUUGUGGGUGAGGGUGAUGCUGAACAGAGCCCCCACAGCUCUUCAUGGAGUGGCAUAGACCCCACCUCCCAGGGCCCCUCCAAGUCCUCCCUCUGCAUCCCCCGACCCACUGGUCACCAUGUUCUGCCAACCUAGCAUCUCCUGAAUUCCUCUCCUCGCCCAGCCCAGGGCACAGCACAUCACCCAUAGAAUAAUCCCUGCCCACCCUCUCCCCUUGCAGUCACUUCCCUGCUCUCCAGGGGGAUCUUUCUAAAAUGCACUUCUGAGUCACUCUCCUACUGAAAACCUUUCUCUGGUUCUCCACUGCCCACAGAAUAAAGCCAAACUCCACAACCUGGCAUUUAAGGCCCUUCAGGAUCUGGCCUUGCCUCCUCCUCCAUCUCUCGGCUCCUCCACCUGCCAGUCCCUUCUGUUCUCGAGGCCUUUGCAAAAGCAGUUUCUUCUACCAGGAGUGCCUGUCCCCUUUUGCCUAUAAACAACAUCUGCUCAUCUUUCAAACCUCAUUGUUGUUCUCAGGGUUAUGAUCCUGCCUGGAGCCCCAUGGCCGGGCACCCCACAGCGUUGUCAUGGCCUGCAUCUGAGUUUAGAUCUAGCUCUCCAAUCAAACUGUGAGACUUUCCAGAGCAGGACAAAGACAAAGCCCUCAGCCCUAGCACAGGGUCCUGCGUGCACAAGGAAAUAUCUGUGGUUGUUCCCUCCAUUUGGUGAAAAACAGGGAUGUGUCACAGCAUGAGCCUCAAAGGAGGGCUGGGCUGGGGACAGACAGAUGCAGGGUCAAGGUUCUCUUUGCCUGAAGAGUUGUGGAAGAGGAACACGCACACACACUCAGGGUCAGGGGUCAGGCAGAAGAGCAGCUACAUCAGCCCACAGUGACCCUGGGGUCAGCCAGGCACCAUUAGAAUAGCCAUCUCUUAUUGGCCGUGGGCCACAAACUGACCACUCCCACCCCCACCUGGGGACCCACUGGCCAAGCCUGGGUCCUGUGCUGUGAGAGGAUAGAGACGGACUUGGGGAGCCCACAGCAGGAGCUGGGAAUGGGAGGAGCCUGGAGCCCCAUGACGCUAAGGGAAGCUGGAAACCUGGAGACCAUUCAGCCAGAGGAGCAGAUUCCAAACCCAGACAGGCUAGUGGGGCAGGGGGAGCUGCAGAGGAAGCAGAUGGGCUCUGUGGUCCCAAAGGCAAAGCUGGCAAUGGCUGAUGGUCACAGGAUGGCCCUGUCCAUCUCCUUCCUGCUCCCACCAAGAAAGGAGACCCCAGUGCCCACCCUCUUAACACAUCAACCUUUACUGACCAGGAAGAGAUGAACACGGAGAGGAGCUCAGAGGGGGGUAGGCAAGUCGGGGACAGGGUCUGGAGACUGUGCCAGGCAGAGCCUCCGCGUAGCCCCAACCUGCAGUCUGCCCAUCUUGGACUGGGCGGAAGUAAACACUCUCAUGCAGAGGAACAGACACAACUCCUCAGACACAACCCGGGGCUGGAUCUGGUGUGGAGUCUGACUCAGGGGUGCACCUUCGGCAGGACUCAGAGUAACUGGGAUGUGGGACUUCCUGGGACACAGCCAGGCAUCACUGCAGCUAGAAACAGAGUUCAGAGGCCUAGGCCCUCGCCGUAUGGGCACUCAUGACCAGGGCAGGCCAGCGCUGGGAGGGUCUAGGACAAGCUCCAGGCUACCUCCUCCAGGCAGCCUGCCUGCUUGCCUCAACCUUUGUUUUUCCUCUAUUCUACAAUCUCUGCCAGCCAACAUGUCCCAUCACUGCUCCAUGGCCAGGCCUUCUCAUCUGCCACCCACCCCUUAGCCUCCACGAUCUGGCCUAGGGAGUACCCCAACAGGUCUAUGACUUCCCCAGAAGGGGGGCUAGGCACCAAGGGUGGAGGACCCUGGAAGCCAUGGAGUUCCAAAGGGCGUUUGCCUCUCCCAGUUCUAUUCCCCCCCUCCACCCACCCCAAGCACAAAGUCUGCAAACAGCCCCAUGGGGGAGGACUGGUAGAAAGAAAUAGAUUUAUUCUCAUGUACAAAGCGGUCAGCCCACGGGACCAUAUACGACAGUUGCACAG
RNAcentral lists this long non-coding RNA (5873 nucleotides) under Homo sapiens (human). RNAcentral's name for it is "non-protein coding LINC01537:3". The record is from RNAcentral. Lineage: Eukaryota; Metazoa; Chordata; Mammalia; Primates; Hominidae.